Molecule: non-coding RNA, 108 nt
Organism: Acanthosepion pharaonis
Lineage: Eukaryota; Metazoa; Mollusca; Cephalopoda; Sepiida; Sepiidae
Source: the annotation of a GenBank genome assembly
UACAGCCACAUCAUGGUGAAACACUGGCUCCUGUAUGAUCACCAAAGUUAAGCAAUGUCAAGCUUGGUCAGUACCUAGAUGGGUGACUGCUUGGGAAUACCAGCUGCU